UGCAUGUCAACACAAACCAGAAAUUUUACCUGGUUUAUAAAAUGUUGGAUCCAACCAUUUCCCCAAAGAUAUGUCCAAAAUGUUCAAUAUAGAAAGUACAAGUUUAAAACUAUUCUUUUGACAUUUGCUAUAUAAACCUCUGCCUGAGACAGGUGUGUUGGCCAUAAGACACUGCAAACCUAAGUACGUAAACAUGCUACUAAAUUACUCUUUGAGAAGGGGUUUGAUUGGAUACAUGCUUUCUAGUGUUUCAGCUGACACUCUGAAGCCUUGGCAGCCUGAACCACACAGCGAACAGGUUCCUAGGAUGCUCUUAGGAUCUGCUGAUUAAACUGAUAUCCUUCUGUGGAUGCACUUCAGGGCAUUUAACUCCAAGGGCCAGAGCUUCUACCAGAGGUACUGUGGCUCGCCAGGAGAUGGCACAGAUCCCAGUGACCCGGCAUGUGUGUGAAUGAUAGAAGCAUAGUGUGAUUCGGGUUCUAGAGAGAUGACUAAGAAAUGGUCUGCUAUUUUGUGUUUUAAGAUUUUAGUUAUAUUUUGUAAAAGAAAAAAAAGAAGCUAAAUAUAUGAAAACUUAUUUUAAUAGUAUGAGGGAAGCGAAGAUAAGUGGCCAUCAAGGAAAACUUGACAAGGCAUAGAAGAGCCUAUUCCUACUUCUGAUUUGUAGUGAUUCGGGGAGCUUAGAAGAGAGGGGGGCAGAAGUCUGCUGCAUACCUUAGUCAGACUGUUGGCUUUCAUCGUAUUGUCUCAGGUCCG
RNAcentral lists this long non-coding RNA (756 nucleotides) under Rattus norvegicus (Norway rat). RNAcentral describes it as "long non-coding RNA NONRATT010502". The record is from RNAcentral. Lineage: Eukaryota; Metazoa; Chordata; Mammalia; Rodentia; Muridae.